Molecule: non-coding RNA, 2091 nt
Organism: Schizosaccharomyces pombe (fission yeast)
Lineage: Eukaryota; Fungi; Ascomycota; Schizosaccharomycetes; Schizosaccharomycetales; Schizosaccharomycetaceae
Source: the annotation of a GenBank genome assembly
AUCAGGGUGAAUUCCAGAUUCCAAUCCCUCAUCUGCAACAGCUUUCCUGGCCAUCUUUUCCUCGCCUGCCUGCUGUUCCUCGCUAGCAACCCGUUGUCUCAUUUCUUCUUUCCAUUUGCGAUUUUUUUCCUUAAUUUUAUUCAUGCGGGCUUCUGUUUUGCCGCCUCCUCCGGCAGUUAAUUCAAUAUUGAUUUUCCUUUCCUUAUAAAUAGUAUGAUGAAACUUUAAAGCUUUUGAAAUAACAUCGGUCUUGGGAUUUAUAAACUCAACGAAUGCAUAUCCUUUCUGACGACCACUAGUUUUAUCGGUAGGAAUACGAACCGAAGGAACUUGACCUGCGCGUUUGAAAUGAAGUUGUAGAGUUUCAACAGAAGAAUCCUUAGGCAAAUUACCAACAAACAAAAUGACCUUUCUGUCAUUAUUUUUCCCUUUCUGUCGUUUGCUUUUCAAAGUUUUAUGAGGGGGAUUUGAAACGCUAUGUUUAUCUUUAUCAUUUGAUUGUGCUAGUUGCUUUUCUGGUAGUUCAUCUCUCGAUAUUUUGUCAGCGGCUUUCUUUUCUAAUUCCUCAUUCUUUUGCUGUACUUUCUUCUCAUGCUCUUCCAAACUUUGCGACUUUUUAUCAAAUUUUUUGGAGCGGUAUUCCAAAGAUUUUAAUUUCUUUUUCGAUAGUUUCGAAGACAUUAAAUAAAAAUUUGAUAAUGGAGAAUUGAAGGUGUUCAGUACAAAAGUUCCUCUAUCCAUAGGCAAGAAUAUUUUAACGAUGUUUACCCUUCUGACAGAAUGUAUACAUAACAAAGUUUCUUAAAACUUCGUUAAACAAAUCUGGAAAGUACAAUUGCACCAUCGCUAGACAAUAUCAGAAGUCUCUUGUUCAACGAAGUAAGAUAAAAUUUAAAGAAAUAAUAACAAGUUAAUUAGUGUUAUAUUUAGAAAAAUGUCAUUGCAGUACAUUCAGUCAUUAUUAGAUAUUAUUAGAUAUAUAAAUAAAAUCAUAAGUCCCCUUCAACAAUAACUAAGUUUUCGGAUUCUUCAUCUGUGUUCGACUCUCCUUUGCUUUUUUCAGAUUUAUCAAGAAUAGCUAAAUCCGGAACUUCUUUUUCGUUAUUUUUUGCUUUUUUGUCUUUCACUUUAGAGGUACCAUCCCCAUAACGAUCUAAUAUGCUUUGAUCAAUAUGUUUCUGGGUAGUCAUACGAGAUGCCUUGUUUUUUCGAAAUUCCAGCUCACCAGCUGUUGGAUUGGCUACAACAUGGACACGAGUUCCAGAACGCUCAGCUUCCCAGGCAAACAUUUGUAGUUUUUCGAAGUCUUCUUUUUCACCACCAGAUGCUUUGACAAAGCCAGCACCUCCAGAAGAAUCAUCCACCAUAUGAUAUCCAGUUUCGUCUCUCAUUGAUCUGGAUUUGGGUUCAUAUUGUAAGUUUUUAUUGUCAGCUCGCAAAUACGCCACCACAUCUUCUCGCAUUCUAAGGCUUGGUGUAGUUAUGGAUGCAGAAUCUUCGGAACCAGAAACGGUGGAAUUUCUUGAUGCUUUAACAGCAGAAUUUUCUGACGCAUCCCUAUUCUCUUCCCCCUUAUUUUGUAAUUCGUCCAAUUUUUCAUAUCUCUCAAUAACUUUCUUAUAAUCCGUGGCAUCAUAGCCAUUCCAACGAUCACGUUUCGCAUCCCAUGAAACGUUGAUAUCUUGAAUAACUUCGUCUGCUUGAAUAUCUUCUCCUGUCCAACGAGCACCCCGCUUUCUUGGUCGCUCCAUGCAAUCUUUAACUUUAUGGGACAUGGCUCCACAAUUCUCACAAGCACCCUUUCGAUAUUUUGUAGCAGCAGGUCCUAAUUUUUUCCCUCUAACGUACCAAGAGCCUUCAAUGGAGGAACGACCACCACUUGGUGUCUCUUUCUUGCCUAUCCUUUGAUGGGCUAAUCUUUCGACCGCAUCAUCAUCCUGAGCAUACCAAGGAGCGGUUGAAAUGAAUUUAGGAAUAUAGGGAUUAUCAGCAUCUGGAUUAUCCAUAGGACGACUACGACGCUUCUGUGCCUUCAUUUCACGCAUCGAAGGUCCAAUGUCUGUUGACAUAAAGUUUUUGUCCUUAGAAUAA